Molecule: ribosomal RNA, 861 nt
Filed under: Paramicrothyrium chinense
Lineage: Eukaryota; Fungi; Ascomycota; Dothideomycetes
Description: eukaryotic LSU rRNA
Rfam family: Eukaryotic large subunit ribosomal RNA
Source: RNAcentral
UCAAUAAGCGGAGGAAAAGAAACCAACAGGGAUUGCCCCAGUAACGGCGAGUGAAGCGGCAACAGCUCAGAUUUGAAAUCUGGUCCCCAGGGCCCGAGUUGUAAUCUGUAGAGGAUGUUUCUGGCAAGGCGCCGUCCGAGUUCCCUGGAACGGGACGCCGGAGAGGGUGAGAGCCCCGUACAGGCGGACGCCGAGCCUCUGUGAAACUCCUUCGACGAGUCGAGUAGUUUGGGAAUGCUGCUCAAAGCGGGAGGUAAAUUUCUUCUAAAGCUAAAUAUAGGCCAGAGACCGAUAGCGCACAAGUAGAGUGAUCGAAAGAUGAAAAGCACUUUGAAAAGAGGGUUAAAAAGCACGUGAAAUUGUUGAAAGGGAAGCGCCUGUGACCAGACUCGCGCCCGGCGUAUCAUCCGGCGUUCUCGCCGGUGCACUACGCCGGGCUCGGGCCAGCAUCGGUUCUGGUGGGGGGAUAAAGGCGGCGGGGAUGUGGCUCCCCCGGGAGUGUUAUAGCCCGCCGCUCAAUGCCCUCGCCGGGACCGAGGACCGCGCAUUGCAAGGAUGCUGGCGUAAUGGUCACCAGCGACCCGUCUUGAAACACGGACCAAGGAGUCAAGCAUUAGGGCGAGUGUUUGGGUGUAAAACCCGCACGCGAAAUGAAAGUGAACGUAGGUGGGAGCCUCGGCGCACCAUCGACCGAUCCUGAUGUCUUCGGAUGGAUUUGAGUAAGAGCCUUAACGCUUGGACCCGAAAGAUGGUGAACUAUGCUUGUGUAGGGUGAAGCCAGAGGAAACUCUGGUGGAGGCUCGCAGCGGUUCUGACGUGCAAAUCGAUCGUCAAACAUGAGCAUGGGGGCGAAAGACUAAU